AGAGUUUGAUCAUGGCUCAGGAUGAACGCUGGCGGCGUGCUUAACACAUGCAAGUCGAACGAACCUUCGGGUUAGUGGCGGACGGGUGAGUAACGCGUGGGAAUCUGCCCUCAGGAGGGGGAUAACGGCUGGAAACGGCCGCUAAUACCCCAUAUGCCGAGAGGUGAAAUGAAUUUCGCCUGAGGAUGAGCCCGCGUCUGAUUAGCUUGUUGGUGAGGUAAUGGCUCACCAAGGCUUCGAUCAGUAGCUGGUCUGAGAGGAUGAUCAGCCACACUGGGACUGAGACACGGCCCAGACUCCUACGGGAGGCAGCAGUGGGGAAUUUUCCGCAAUGGGCGAAAGCCUGACGGAGCAACGCCGCGUGAGGGACGAAGGCCUCUGGGCUGUAAACCUCUUUUCUCAAGGAAGAAGAUCUGACGGUACUUGAGGAAUAAGCCACGGCUAAUUCCGUGCCAGCAGCCCGCGGUAAUACGGGAGUGGCAAGCGUUAUCCGGAAUUAUUGGGCGUAAAGCGUCCGCAGGCGGCCUUUCAAGUCUGCUGUUAAAACGUGGAGCUUAACUCCAUCAAGGCAGUGGAAACUGUUGGGCUUGAGUGUGGUAGGGGCAGAGGGAAUUCCCGG
This 619-nucleotide ribosomal RNA is filed under the name uncultured marine bacterium. RNAcentral describes it as "bacterial SSU rRNA". It matches the Rfam family "Bacterial small subunit ribosomal RNA", at positions 8 to 673 of the family's 1533-position model. The record is from RNAcentral.